UACGUAGGGUGCGAGCGUUGUCCGGAAUUAUUGGGCGUAAAGAGCUCGUAGGCGGUUUGUUGCGUCGACUGUGAAAACCUGGGGCUUAACUCUGGGCUUGCAGUCGAUACGGGCAGACUUGAGUUCGGUAGGGGAGACUGGAAUUCCUGGUGUAGCGGUGAAAUGCGCAGAUAUCGGGAGGAACACCAAUGGCGAAGGCAGCUCGCUGGGACGGUACUGACGCUGAGGCGCGAAAGCGUGGGGAGCAAACAGG
RNAcentral lists this ribosomal RNA (253 nucleotides) under uncultured bacterium. RNAcentral's name for it is "partial 16S ribosomal RNA". It matches the Rfam family "Bacterial small subunit ribosomal RNA", at positions 524 to 776 of the family's 1533-position model. The record is from RNAcentral.